This 41-nucleotide non-coding RNA is filed under the name Trypanosoma brucei brucei. Lineage: Eukaryota; Euglenozoa; Kinetoplastea; Trypanosomatida; Trypanosomatidae. The record is from RNAcentral.
ACGACAUAACAGAGAUGAAUACUCUAGAAAGUGUGACAAAU